UCAAUCUCCCUUCUGUCUUGCAUGCUCUUAUUACAAAGUGAGUUUCAUCCUCCUGCUAUCAAAUGUGUGGUUUUGACCUGGAAAAGGAAAGGUGAGAAGGUCUUUAUUUCCUGUUCUUGAAUCUGGGAAGGCUCUGAGACUUAUGAGGCUAAUGCAUAAAUAGUUUAAAGAAUUUUAGCUGAUUCUCCUAAUACACUCGCUAUUGAGAUGCAGUCACUAUGCUGUGAGGAAGCCCAUGUAACAAUGUGGAGAUUCUGAAGUGAGUUCUGGGUUCUAAGCCAACAGCCUAAAUACUUUAGGUCCAUUAUUUAGGUCCAAGUUCAACCACUAGACCUGUACUUCGCAAGCCUUCAGAGGAUUCCUGCUUUCAGCCCGCAAGCUUUUUCAGCUGAAGCCCCCAGUAUCAUGGAACAGAAUCAGAUUAUUUCCACUGAGUCCUUUUCAAUUUCUUAACCCACAGGAUUUAUGAGCAUUAUGAAGUCAUUAUGGCUUUCUGCCACUAGGCUGAGAGUGGACCACAUAUACAGAAAUAAAAAACUAUUAAUAGAAAAAUAUAUUGCAAACAUCUAAUCCUCAAACCCCAUUCAAGUUUUGCCAACUACCCUCCAUCCUAUCAAAUAUUCCUUAUACCAAAAAGAUCCAGUUCAAAAAUAAGUGUUGCAUUUAUUUUUUAACCUCUUUUGAUCUGGAAUAGCUCCUCACACCGUCUUUCAUGACUUUAGUGCUUUGGAAGACUACAGAUGUUUAGGCUCAUCUGAAAUUUCCCUGCCGUCACCUGGGAAUCAACCAUUUCUUCAGGGAGUCCUAGUUUCUUUUAGCGUAUAGCCACCAAUUUCUACUGAGUAUUUAUCUACUAUAUGGCAGGUCAAGUCUGCAUUCUGGGAUAAAGUGUUGACACAAUCUUGAAUCAGUGCCUAAGGAGUUCACAAGUCCAGAGAGGGGAUAGCGCAUAGAGAAGAUAAAGCAGAUGUCCAUCCAAAGACUUGUAUGUGAAUGUUCAUAGCAACUUUAUUUGUAAUAGCCAAAACCUGAAAGCAACCCAAAUGUAUGUUAAGAAGCGAAUGGAUACAUAAAUUGUGGCAUAUGCAUACAAUGGGAUACCCAGCAAUAAAAAGGAAUGAACUAUUCAAGUAGGCAACAAAAGAUAAGAGAGCUGAAGAAGAGUGAAAAUAAAGAAACUUCUGCAAAGCCACACAUGUAAUAGGAAGCAAGGGACAACAGAAGCCUAGAAUUCCUGGUGAGCCAGAUUUCCAAGGCUCAAGAAAGCCAUCCAAGGAAAAUAGAAUCUCUCCUGUGCAUGCUCCUCAUUGCACUGCUGCUGAAGGACCCCAGAAAGCACUCCCCUCUGAGUUAUAUGCCCUGGGGAUAAUUGGCAUUGCUGGACUGAAGUUUGGCAGGACAUCCUGUUCCAGAAGGAAGCAGAACAGAGUACAGCCUGCUGUGGACAGUUCCUUUUUGUCUCAGGAUGCUUCAUUCGCAGCAUAUUCUACAAUUAUUCUGAGAGCUACAAGCAAGAAAGACGAGGGAGAACUGGGUUAGCUAAGAAAUAUAUUUCUGGCAACAGUGGAGAAGAAUGAUAGGAAGAGAAUCAUACUGGAAUAGUAUAGUCCUUUGGAAUGUUGUUGUAAUGAAGGCAAGAAGAAAAAUGAUCUUGAAGGCAAGAAGAAAAAUCAUAUUGAAGGAAAGGAGAGAUGAGUUUACCAAAUAUAAUCUCAGAAUUGUUCUGUAAAUUUCAUUUCUGCUUUAGCAGCCAUAAAGAGCUCCAUUUAUUACAGUAGGAACAGAGGCAACAGCAACAUGGGUGGCUGGCAGUGAUAGAAAGGAUUUUAGUUUUGAUACAUGGAAUUUGACAUGCUUUUUGAAAAUCUUCAGAUGGUGAUGUACAAACUACUGCAGGAACAUAUGAGGAAAGAUGAGAGAAUCCACAGACUCUUUGAAGGAAGCAGAUUGCUCCUGCAGGGCCUGGGAGACAACCAAACACUGGGUCCUUAGGGAGAGGUGCCAGAGGAAUUGGAAAAAGGCCACAGGCAGAAGGAAGGCUCCAGCUAAACUUGAUUGACCCAUCAUUUGGAUGACCCGAAACCACAGAUGCAAUAGAAGAAUGGAACAAAUUUGUACAUUUUGUCAAUAAAAACUUUAUCUUCA
RNAcentral lists this long non-coding RNA (2145 nucleotides) under Homo sapiens (human). RNAcentral's name for it is "HSALNT0294420". The record is from RNAcentral. Lineage: Eukaryota; Metazoa; Chordata; Mammalia; Primates; Hominidae.